CGAGAUCCAGUGAAAGGGCCCAGUAGUUAAGGACCCGCCUAGUCAGAGAGGAGACACCGCGGCUGAAAGUGUCUCUCUAGCGCACCCUUGAUGAAUGACACCCUGGAGGACCCCCUGCGAAACGCUUGCCGGCAAGCGCGGUAGCAGGGCGGCGUGACCGGACGUUACCCGGCGAGUGGAAGCUGGCUUUGUGCAGCUUCAAAUAGGGUGGUACCACGGGAAGUCACAGCUCUCGUCCCUAAG
RNAcentral lists this non-coding RNA (243 nucleotides) under Tumebacillus sp. RNAcentral's name for it is "T-box sequence". It matches the Rfam family "T-box leader". From Rfam's summary of the family: Uncharged tRNA acts as the effector for transcription antitermination of genes in the T-box leader family. T-boxes are found upstream of many aminoacyl-tRNA synthetase genes and some amino acid biosynthetic genes usually in Gram-positive bacteria. The record is from RNAcentral. Lineage: Bacteria; Bacillati; Bacillota; Bacilli; Caryophanales; Alicyclobacillaceae.